GAUGAACGCUGGCGGCGUGCCUAAUACAUGCAAGUCGAGCGAACGGACGCGAAGCUUGCUUCUCUGAUGUUAGCGGCGGACGGGUGAGUAACACGUGGAUAACCUACCUAUAAGACUGGGAUAACCUCGGGAAACCGGAUCUAAUACCGGAUAAUAUUUUGCACCGCAUGGUUCAAAAGUGAAAGACGGUCUUGCUGUCACUUAUAGAUGGAUCCGCGCUGCAUUAGCUAGUUGGUAAGGUAACGGCUUAGCAGGGCAACGAUGCAUAGCCGACCGGAGAGGGUGGUCGGCCGCACGAGAGCUGAGACACGGUCCCGGGUCCUACGAGAGGGAGCAGUAGGGAAUCUUCCGCAAUGGGCGAGAGCCUGGCGGAGCGACGCCGCGUGAGUGAUGAAGAUCUUCGGAUCGUGAAACUCUGUUAUUAGGGAAAAACAUAUGUGUAAGUAACUGUGCACAUCGUGACGGUACCGAAUCAGGAAGCCACGGCUAACUACGUG
This 497-nucleotide ribosomal RNA is filed under the name uncultured bacterium. Its description in RNAcentral is "partial 16S ribosomal RNA". It matches the Rfam family "Bacterial small subunit ribosomal RNA", at positions 28 to 507 of the family's 1533-position model. The record is from RNAcentral.